AACCAAAUAUGUCAACAAAGAAAAACAAAAUGAUAUAUAAAUAAAGCACAUAAGCGAAAAUGAAAAAUAAGAAUACAAAAAAAAAAAAUACUAUAAAGUAUAUUUCGCCUUUUUACUAUCGACAAUUUUUGCGUUAUGACUUAUCUCUAAUGCUAGCUCAUUUAGUUGACGACUUUUUCAGUCAGCUUGCCGAGUCAUUGGAGGAGAGCUUGUCAGCUGUUCAGAUGGAUUUACUUUUACAGAAUAUCUAUAACAAAAAGAUGCAAAAUCCAGAAUAGAAUUAGGUAAUAUUGUAUAUUGCUUUCAAAUUGUUUCACACAGAAAUUGAAGGAUAAAUAAGUAUCUCAGGACAGUAAAACAAGAUGAUAAAUUUAUUUUUCAGCCAUUUAUGCAUUGCUGGUAUUGACAAAGUGCCAUGAUUUAAGAUGAAGACUUUAUGGGAAGACAUUAUCUGAUAUUAAGGUAGUAAAACAUGUUUUCCAUCAGUCCAGGAUCCUAUGGUCAAUCAGGUCUCCGGUGGAGGUGUUGGUAUGUUUGCCAUAUCUAUCUGUAUACCUGAAAAAAAAUAAAAUCAAUUAAAUGAGAUAUCCGGGUAUAGGUCAAUAGAACUUAUUAAUAUUUGGCCAACAGACCUGCACUGCAAGACCAGAGAAGGGAUACUAGACAGAGAAUUCGUGACAAUUGAAUUUUUGAUGUCAUACAACAAUCAUUUUUUAUGUGACAUCAAAAUUUUUUCUCUUGUGAAGUCAAAUUUUUACAGGAAAGUCAGUGUUCUAGUAAUGACAAAUAUGAAUAACGUCUUUGAGACAACAAUUAAACAACACAAAAAUAGAAGACAUGAAAUGAUACCAGUAGGAGGUACUUACACGAAAGGAUGGUGAGUAUUGAUUCUUGUUCUCUACGCAGAUACUUGCAUGACAGGAUGGUGAGUAUGGAUUCUUGUUCUCUACAGAAACCAGUAGAAGGUACUUACAUGACAGGAUGGUAAGUAUGGAUUCUUGUUCUCUACACAGAUACCAGUAGAAGGUACUUACAUGACAGGAUGGUGAGUAUGGAUUUUUGUUCUCUACACAGAUACCAGUAGAAGGUACUAACAUGACAGGAUGGAAAGUAUGGAUUUUUGUUCUCUACACAGAUACCAGUAGAAGGUACUUACAUGACAGUUGGAGAGUAUGGAUUUUUGUUCUCUACACAGAUACCAGUAGAAGGUACUUACAUGACAGGAUGGUGAGUAUGGAAUUUUGUUUUUUAACAC
Mytilus californianus (California mussel) is the source of this 1255-nucleotide long non-coding RNA. RefSeq lists it as uncharacterized. The record is from RefSeq and is a predicted model, not a curated record. The transcript has 6 exons. Lineage: Eukaryota; Metazoa; Mollusca; Bivalvia; Mytilida; Mytilidae.